Molecule: small nuclear RNA, 98 nt
Filed under: Glossina pallidipes
Lineage: Eukaryota; Metazoa; Arthropoda; Insecta; Diptera; Glossinidae
Source: RNAcentral
AUUCACUGGGCAGAAAAUAUACUAAAAUUGGAACGAUACGGAGAAUUAGCAUGCCCCCUGCGGAAGGACGAGCAUAUGGUAUUGCAAACUUAAUUUUA